RNAcentral lists this ribosomal RNA (460 nucleotides) under uncultured bacterium. RNAcentral's name for it is "partial 16S ribosomal RNA". It matches the Rfam family "Bacterial small subunit ribosomal RNA", at positions 338 to 795 of the family's 1533-position model. The record is from RNAcentral.
CCUACGGGGGGCAGCAGUGAGGAAUAUUGGUCAAUGGACGCAAGUCUGAACCAGCCAUGCCGCGUGCAGGAAGACGGCCCUAUGAGUUGUAAACUGCUUUUGUACGAGGGUAAACGCAGAUACGCGUACCUGUCUGAAAGUAACGUAUGAAUAAGGAUCGGCUAACUCCGUGCCAGCAGCCGCGGUAAUACGGAGGAUUCCAGCGUUAUCCGGAUUUAUUGGGUUUAAAGGGUGCGUAGGCGGGCGGGUAAGUUAGAUGUGAAAUUCCGAGGCUCAACUUCGGAAUUGCCUCUGAUACUGUUCGGCUUGAGAGUAGUUGCGGUAGGCGGAAUGUAUGGUGUAGCGGUGAAAUGCUUAGAGAUCAUGCAGAACACCGAUUGCGAAGGCAGCUUACCAAGCUACUUCUGACAUUGAGGCACGAAAGCGUGGGGAGCAAACAGGAUUAGAUACCCGUGUAGUC